GACGAACCGCGCGAACGUUGUUCGGAUUCACUGGGCUUAAAGGGCGCGUAGGCGGACUCGCAAGUCUGUGGUGAAAGCCCCCAGCUCAACUGGGGAAGUGCCGUGGAUACUGCAAGUCUGGAGGAGGGUAGGGGCAUCUGGAACGCUGGGUGGAGCGGUGAAAUGCGUUGAUAUCCAGCGGAACUCCGGUGGCGAAGGCGAGGUGCUGGACCCUUUCUGACGCUGAGGCGCGAAAGCCAGGGGAGCAAACGGG
Molecule: ribosomal RNA, 253 nt
Filed under: uncultured bacterium
Lineage: Bacteria
Description: partial 16S ribosomal RNA
Rfam family: Bacterial small subunit ribosomal RNA
Source: RNAcentral